GACGGUGACAAACCGCGCGACGGCUGAAGGGUUAAAGUGUCACAGAAACUACACACUGAAAAUAAUGUUGUAGUAACUUUAAUCACGACAUUGUUGUUACCACAACUAUUUCGAAAUAUUGUUAAAUUGAAUGAAAUAAUCAUAUUAAUAAAAACAAUGUUGUUCAAAUUACCAUGUUCACAAAGCUAUAGCACUGUACUUUCAACUAUGUUUAUGUAGUCAAGAGAUAUUCUUCUUGAAGUUGACUUGACCACAUGUUCAGUAACAAGCAACAGCAAAUUUUUUUCGAUUUUACCAUGCUCAUGGUAAUAAUAAAAACAGAGAAUGUGUAAUCUUUACUACCGUGCAUUUAUAUCCCUAACUCCCAUUGAAGGACGCCAUUUUGUACAUUGAUUUAGUAACGAAGACAGUAGCUAUUUGGAAGCAAACUAGAAUUGGUAUAUCCAAAAUGAAUAGAACAAUCGGAAACAUUUAACAAUACAGAAAUUUAUGGUGAUUUGUUUUUCGAGUUCAUGAACCAAUAGUUUUAAGAUUGAGCUGACUGAGCUGCUGUUGGAUGUAUUUCGUUUUCUUCAAUGCAUGUUGCAGAAAUCCCUCGGAUCGGUUUUCAUGCUCUGGCAUCUUCAGUGAAUUAUCCAUCAAGAAGGCAACGGAAGAUCAGCGUUAACCAGCGUUCUUCCUGAUUUAACAUCGCUUCUACAAGCUGACGGAAAACGGAUUCAUCGAGCCGGGAGUAGCGCUCUUCAAGGCAGAUCUUCUUCAGCAUCGCAUCAGUCUGAACAUGACAGCCAGUCACUGUACAUGAAGGUCAGCCAAGAGUCAUGCCGGCGACCGUGGAUGGCCAACUGCCUUCAGUGGUAUCCGGAUCAUAUCUCCGGAUCUGACAAAACGCAAAUUUUAUUUGUGCAAAAUAUUUAUUUAUUUGCGUGAACUCAUUAUUUAUUUAGAAUUGAAAUUUGUACAAAUUGCCAUUGAUCAGUUCAAAUUAAUUAUUAUUAUACACAUAUUUACAAUUCUAUAUCAUGCAUCAUGCGUGGACCUCGGCAUCGCACUUGAUGAUAUUCAAUAAAAGAAGCGUCCAGUUAAACCUA
This is a long non-coding RNA of Aedes aegypti (yellow fever mosquito), 1091 nucleotides long. RefSeq lists it as uncharacterized. Lineage: Eukaryota; Metazoa; Arthropoda; Insecta; Diptera; Culicidae. The transcript is spliced from 2 exons. The record is from RefSeq and is a predicted model, not a curated record.